UUUCCGUAGGUGAACCUGCGGAAGGAUCAUUAAAGUUAUAGUCCCCCGGCCCUCUGGGCUGGGGUCUUCUAUACCACCCUUUGUUUAUUACACCUUUGUUGCUUUGGCAGGCCUGCCCUCGGGCUGCUGGCUCCGGCCGGCUCGCGUCUGCCAGAGGACCUAAACUCUGUUUGUAUAUGAAGUCUGAGUACUAUAUAAUAGUUAAAACUUACAACAACGGAUCUCUUGGUUCUG
This 234-nucleotide unclassified non-coding RNA is filed under the name plant metagenome. RNAcentral's name for it is "partial contains small subunit ribosomal RNA, internal transcribed spacer 1, and 5.8S ribosomal RNA". The record is from RNAcentral.